This 253-nucleotide ribosomal RNA is filed under the name uncultured bacterium. Its description in RNAcentral is "partial 16S ribosomal RNA". It matches the Rfam family "Bacterial small subunit ribosomal RNA", at positions 524 to 776 of the family's 1533-position model. The record is from RNAcentral.
UACGAAGGGGGCUAGCGUUGCUCGGAAUCACUGGGCGUAAAGCGCGUGUAGGCGGCCAAGCAGGUCCGUUGUGAAAACUGGAGGCUUAACCUCCAGACGUCGACGGAAACCGCGUGGCUAGAGUCCGGAAGAGGAGAGUGGAAUUCCUGGUGUAGCGGUGAAAUGCGCAGAUAUCAGGAAGAACACCAAUGGCGAAGGCAGCUCUCUGGGACGGUACUGACGCUGAGACGCGAAAGCGUGGGGAGCGAACAGG